CGGAGGGUGCAAGCGUUGUCCGGAUUUAUUGGGUUUAAAGGGUGCGUAGGCGGUCUUUUAAGUCAGUGGUGAAAUCCUGCAGCUCAACUGUAGAACAGCCAUUGAUACUGAAAGACUUGAGUACAGACGAGGUAGGCGGGAUUUAUGGUGUAGCGGUGAAAUGCAUAGAUACCAUAAAGAACCCCUAUUGCGAAGGCAGCUUACUAGGCUGUAACUGACGCUGAGGCACGAAAGCGUGGGGAUCAAACAGGAUUAGAUACCCUGGUAGUCCACGCCGUAAACGAUGAUUACUCGAUGUUCGCGAUAUACAGUGAGCGUCCAAGCGAAAGCGUUAAGUAAUCCACCUGGGAAGUACGAUCGCAAGAUUG
Molecule: ribosomal RNA, 368 nt
Filed under: uncultured organism
Description: bacterial SSU rRNA
Rfam family: Bacterial small subunit ribosomal RNA
Source: RNAcentral